Molecule: unclassified non-coding RNA, 254 nt
Filed under: Hevea brasiliensis (rubber tree)
Lineage: Eukaryota; Viridiplantae; Streptophyta; Magnoliopsida; Malpighiales; Euphorbiaceae
Source: RNAcentral
GUACAAUGGCUCAACUUUUCGAUGUUGCGAAGGAAGAGUGCUCGGUCAUAUUCCUAUGGACAUAUUUGGCUGCUCUGGUAGCAAUUUCGAUAUGGCCGACAGUCUUCAUGUGGAUCUUGACUUAGAAUACUUUGGUACAUCAAGGAAGUGUUAAUACUCUUUAUCUGGUGUUGCAAGAUUUUGGAGGGAGAGAAUGGAAGAUGAUUUUUACUAUAUCGUAUCCAAUACAAAGCUGGUAGCCUUUAUGAUUCUUU